This 333-nucleotide long non-coding RNA is filed under the name Podarcis muralis (Common wall lizard). Its description in RNAcentral is "lncRNA (ENSPMRG00000005987.1)". Lineage: Eukaryota; Metazoa; Chordata; Lepidosauria; Squamata; Lacertidae. The record is from RNAcentral.
UGGCCAACCAGUUGCCGAUGUGAAGCCCUCAUGAAGGACCCUUGUGGAAUGCACACUCCCCACUUGGAUUCUAGCAAAAUGGUAUUUAGAGGCCACUUGUUGGAAAUUAUCACUGGACUGUUAAGACGACUAUAUCAUUUGAAACAGGAGUUCCAGGAGUUCCAGAUUCAACUUGCUUUGGCUUGUUUGUUUUCUAGAUCCCUCUACCAGUUUCUGUAUACUACAGCCAAUGCGUCUUGUGUGUAUGGCCACUUAACCAAGGAUACAAGGCAGGAUAUAUACAAAGGAGGUAAUAAUCAUCAGGGGCUCAGCCUGUAUUCCGUUCAGCUUUAA